UCGAGGAUCUUCGGCAAUGAGCGCAAGCUUGACCGAGCGACGCCGCGUGUGCGAUGAAGGCCUUCGGGUUGUAAAGCACUGUCGAGGGGGAGGAAAGCCGCAAGGCCUGACCUAUCCCUGGAGGAAGCACGGGCUAAGUUCGUGCCAGCAGCCGCGGUAAGACGAACCGUGCGAACGUUGUUCGGAAUCACUGGGCUUAAAGGGCGCGUAGGCGGGUGGCAAAGUCAGGGGUGAAAUCUUUCGGCCCAACCGGAAAAGGGCCCCUGAUACUGGCCGUCUCGAGGGAGGUAGGGGUUGGUGGAACUUCCGGUGGAGCGGUGAAAUGCGUAGAUAUCGGAAGGAACGCCGGUGGCGAAAGCGGCCAACUGGACCUCUUCUGACGCUGAUGCGCGAAAGCUAGGGGAGCGAACGGGAUUAGAUACCCCCGUAGUCC
Molecule: ribosomal RNA, 433 nt
Filed under: uncultured bacterium
Lineage: Bacteria
Description: bacterial SSU rRNA
Rfam family: Bacterial small subunit ribosomal RNA
Source: RNAcentral